AAAUCAGCAACCAGUGCGAGUGUCAGAAGCGCCGUGUGUGCCUCUGAACGACGUCUUGAUCCCAACGCAGCCUGGUGAUGGCUUCAUGCGGUGUCGUCCCAGGCUCUGCGAAAUCCCGUUGGAAGCCUUGCCUGCGACCUGUGAAUUUAAAAUUUUGAAGUCCGAGUAUAAAUACUGGCAUCAGCUGCGGACGGCUCCUGCGUCCACAGCCACGCGCUCGACCGCUCUGGGGGUGACUGCAGAACCGCACCUUUCUGUGCCCCCUUGUGUAAUCU
Long non-coding RNA from Rhipicephalus sanguineus (brown dog tick), 275 nucleotides. RefSeq lists it as uncharacterized. The record is from RefSeq and is a predicted model, not a curated record. The transcript has 3 exons. NCBI's taxonomy places the organism in Eukaryota, Metazoa, Arthropoda, Arachnida, Ixodida, Ixodidae.